GAUUUUCCCAGGGUUUUUUAUUCUUUGCGUUUUAGUUCCGGAAUAUAGGGUUUCUGUUGUGAGGUUAAUUUAGGGUUUAGAUUAUGCUUUCUCUCACCGUUUCUGCUGGUUAUUAAUUAGGGUUGUUUAUACGAUUUGAGGGUAUAAAUUAGGGUUUUUAACAAGCAAUUCGUACUGUUUUCACGAUUUAAUCUACUAUUUAUCUGAAACAAUGCCUCCACGGAUGGUGAAGAGAGGUGCUGCGGAAGCGGGGUCGAAGAGGGCUGUGAGAGCCUCGAGAGGGGUAGCCAAGGGACAGAAUCAGCAACCGGAAGCUGCUGAAGUGACGCCAAAGACGGAGGAAAGGCUGGCCGUUGAUGAAAAGCCUUAUGUGGAGAAGCAUCUUGUUGAGAACAAGCCAAUUAUAGAAGAAAGGUCAGGUGUGGAAGAUGAAGUUGGAGCCAAAUUCGAUGCCAACGGCUCGGCUUCUCUGAAAAAAGGGGAAGAUGUGAAGGAAUCUGUAGAUGAGUAUGAAAAAGAUGAGCGGUUGGAGCUUGAUGAUAAUGAACCUGAAUAUGAACCUGAAGAAUACGGUGGGGUGGACUAUGAUGAUAAAGAAAUUGAAGAAGAGGAAAUUCAGGAGGUGGAGGUGGAGGUAGAGGUUGGAGAUGAAGUGGAGGAAGAACAUGAGGGUUGUGUAGGUGAAGAAGAAGAGGGUGAUCUGGUGGAGGAGGAAUUGGAAGACGUCGCUGAAGAACUGGAGGGUGAAGAGGAUGAUGAGCAUACUGGUGAAGAGGCAGAUCAUACUGAGAUGGUUGAUGCUGAGGAAGAGGAUCACCAUGAGGUGUUUAAGGAGAGACGCAAACGUAAGGAGUUCGAAGUAUUUGUUGGAGGUUUAGACAAGGAUGCUAAAGAGGAUGAUCUUCUGAAAGUGUUCAGCCGAGUUGGUGAGGUUACUGAAGUCAGGUUGAUGAUGAAUCCCCAGACCAAGAAAAACAAGGGAUUUGCAUUCUUGCGUUUUGCAACUGUGGAACAAGCAAAAAGAGCCAUUACAGAGCUCAAAAAUCCGGUGGUAAUUUUCGAUCAUGUCAUUUUUGGAAUAUCAAGUAAAUUUACUUCACAUCUUAAAUAUGUUAUUUUCAUUACUGCAAUUCCAGAUUAAUGGGAAAAAAUGUGGUGUUACACCAAGUCAAGACAGUGACACUCUUUUCUUGGGUAACAUUUGCAAGACAUGGACGAAAGAAGCUGUAAGUAUAUUGGAUCAUGAACUGUUAAGUGUAAAGUUUUCUCCACUGCUGAUUAUUGGAGCUGAAAUAUUCCUGAUAUUAUGGUCAUUGCUGUGGUUCCAGUUGAAAGAGAAGUUAAAACAUUAUGGAGUUGAGGAUGUUGAGGAUUUGACACUGGUAGAUGAUAGUAACAAUGAGGGAAUGAAUCGGGGGUUUGCCUUUUUGGAAUUUUCAUCUCGUUCAGUUGCCAUGGAUGCUUUUAAGCGUCUUCAGAAGAGGGAUGUUCUAUUUGGGGUUGAUAGGCCUGCAAAGGUUUCAUUUGCAGAUUCAUUCAUUGACCCUGGUGAUGAAAUCAUGGCGCAGGUCAAGACUGUAUUUAUUGAUGGCCUGCCCGCUUCAUGGGAUGAGGAUCGUGUUAGGGAGCUGUUAAAGAAAUAUGGGGAGAUUGAAAAGAUUGAGCUUGCCCGGAAUAUGCCAUCUGCCAAGAGAAAGGACUUUGGUUUUGUGACAUUUGAUUCUCAUGAUGCUGCAGUUACUUGUGCUAAAAGCAUUAAUAAUGCAGAGUUGGGUGAAGGAGAAAACAAGGCUAAAGUUAGGGCCCGGUUAUCAAGACCACUUCAGAGAGGAAAAGGAAAGCAUGCAAGUCGUACAGAUUUCCGAGCUUGGUAUGGGGGUAGAGUUGCUAGAGGUCCAUGGGUUCGUCCAACAAGAGGAAUUGCAAGUCGUGCUGCACCAGCCAGUGUAAAGAGGCCUAUAGGAUUGAGAGAUAGACGCCUACCUGUGAUGUCAAUGCCUGCAAGAGGCAGGCCUUUGCCGCCUCCUUCCAGGUCCUAUGAUAGAAGAGCACCCGCUUCAUCUUACCCGAAGAGUAGCUUAAAGAGGGAAUAUAGUCAGCGUGAUGAACUUCCUCCUCCAAGGAGCAGAGCUCCUGUGGAUUAUGGGUCUAGGGCCAUUCCAGAGAGACGGCCAUCUUCCUAUAGAGAUGAUUACUCCUCACGUGGCUCUGGCUAUUCAGAUUUUCCUAGAGGCACAUCUCGUACUUCAGCAAGGAGAGCAUAUGUAGAUGAUGGCUAUGGUCAAAGGUUUGAGAGGCAUCCUCCAAAUUACCGUGAAGGACGUGCGCGUGAUUAUGACUCUAUUUCUGGGUCAAAACGUCCAUAUUCAUCAAUGGAUGAUGUUCCUCCACGUUAUGCUGAUGCUGGUGCUCGCCAUUCAAGGGCUCGAUUGGACUACGAACUUGGCCCUGGUUCUUCUCAAUACGGGGAGGCAUAUGGUGAUAGAAUCAGCAGACCCAAUGUAGGAUAUGGUGGCAGCAGAAGUUCAAUUUCCGGUCAGGAUUCACAUGGGCUAUAUAGCAGCCGUCCGGGCAUGGGUUAUGGAGGUUCUUAUGGUGGCAGUGAUGUUGGUAGUAUGUACCACCCAUCAAACUAUGGUGGUGAUUACAUGUCCCGUGGCAGUGAUGUUGGUGGUAGGUCAUAUUCAUCAAUGUACUCUAGUCGUGGCUUGGGUGGCAGCAGUUACAUGGGUUCUGGUGGGUCAGGAUCAUACUAUUGAUAUAUUGCCAUCUCUUUUGAUUCCUAAGAGGUGUGAUUGGACAAAAAAGGCACGUGUGGUCACAAGUUAAUUUGUCUAUGGAACAGAUUUGACAUGACAAAGAGGCUGCUAUAGGAUGUGGACUAUUUGAAGCUUAUGAAUAAUGAUGCUUACAUUUUUGGAGACAGCAUGUUGUCGAGCAUAGUAGCCUCUAUAUGUUGUGGAAAAUGUUUGAGCUUAAAGUUCUUUGGUAAAGAAAGGGCAGCUUUGGUUCAAAUCUUUUUUUUUUAAGAUCUGCAGACUGGAUAUUUGUCAAGUCAUAGGCUCUGAUGAUGUAAGGAAAAUUUCACUCCUUUAGGGAUGAAAACUGGGAUUGCUUAGUAUAUGUAUGAAUUUGAUCUUUUGUUCUCUAUAUAUAUCUUUAAGAUGGAUGUGGGAAGUCAUGCUGCGUCAACUGUUUUUAUGGACAACAUGUUAUUGAGAAUUUGAGAUAUAUGUAAGGAUUUUGGAUAUUUGUUGUGCUAAAUUCAUUGGAUAAGCUAAGAUUUGGAAGGCAUUUUUAAUUGUGGUUGGAGCAUGUACUCUUUGAGUGCCACAACCUUUUAUGAUGUGAAAGGAGUUUUUGAGCAAGCUAUUGAAGUUCACUGGGAGUUAUUGUCCACAUCAUGCAUGCAUUAUGUCACUGCAGUUUAUUUGAAUUGUGAUUUGCGGAUCCAUUAUGGAGAGCUUACUGGAACUUAUGGGUGUGCUUAUAUUGGAAGCCAAUGAUGUCCAUGGAUUGUGAAGCGUGCAGUCAUUUCAAUGCACCAUUGUGUGAUAAUACAUUUGGGAACACAAUGCUGAUAAUGUUCUUUUUUACUAGACAUGUGCUGCAUUUAAGUGGAAUGGGUUGAUAACUUCGAUAGGAAAUAUUGACUUUUGUGUUCUUGCAUAUAGUUAUAGCUUGCUUAAGUUGGAGUCUGUUACAUGGAGUUCAAAUGAUAAAAAAGCUUUAUUUCACACGAGCUGUAAAACUAUAGUGCUUCCCUAGCUGAAGGACACUUGCGCUUUUAUUUUAAUAGUACGCUGUUGAUGGACAAAAGUCAUCUGUAGUUCAUUGAUUCAUCAAAUGCUUGGUUUCUGUGGGGUAAUGAAGGCUGGAAGUAAGCAUUUUUCCAUGGUUCUUUUACAGAAACUUGGAAUGAGGUAAUGCAAGAGUUGUAAUAUACUUUGGUUUCAGUUGAUAUUCUGAUUACUAUGUCGGACAGUAUCGUUACGGUUGAAAAUGGUUGGCGAAUUCUGCUGGGGAAUUUUGGGUCCGUUAGUGAUUGGGUUGCAUUUGACUGACUUGAGAUUCUGAACAAGCGUGAGUGCAUACCAUCUUUGAAAUUGCAUUUAAUGUUAGCAAGCCUGAUUUACUAAAUAACUGAAUUUAAUAGGCUUAUUUGUGAUAUCAAAUAGGUAAGGCUUGUAGUUAUAACAAGCUGCCACUGUUGAGAACUUAAAAGCGUUAGUAGUUUUGUUAGCAAGAAUUUGCCUGCAAACUUAGUUUGUAACGUUUUCCUUGCUUUGCUAAAGAAGUUGGUUCAGCACUGAGUACGAGAAUAUAAUCCCAAUGGCUGAUGGCAAUUUGAUUAUCUGUUGGGCACAGCCCUACAAGGACUUUGUUCAAUGUGGUAGACCAUUUACCAUUUUGUUUCUCUUGGCUGGUUUUAUCAGUAUCUUGAUUUGAACGUCAUUGCAUGGUUUUAGGGCUUUGGAAUCGGUUGGAAUGGCUACUUACUGUCAUUCUGUCUGGUUGUAGCCAUGCUUAACUCAGCCUCCACUAAGUUUUAAGAAAAUCACCUAAUGAUGGCUUUUCCUACCUUUCAUUCAUUUUAUGGCACCACUUUCUGAUCAUAUAGGGUGUUACGUUUUGCAUGUACACUUGGUGAUAUGAUUUCUGACUUCUUGUGAUUAACUGUAGAUGUUUGUAUUUUGAGAGGGAACGAUGUUAUCUGCAUCAUUUGGUUUCAUUUCACGGGGUUUGAGUUCCUACAAGUUCUUUUCUUUGCAGUGAUUCCCUUAGAGUCUAGAUGUUACCCUUACCAAUAUUUGGGUUUGAGGAAAUCUAGUGAUUGGCCAUUGUAAACAAUUUGUAAUGAACCCUCUCCCCGCUCCUGCUGCUGUAUGUCGUAUUUACAGUUCAUGUUGUAACCUGGUAUGGAAUGCAGAUACUACCAAAUGCAGGAGAGCAAGUAGGCAAUCUUUUAGUAUAUUUUUGAUUUCUUGUUGUAGUGGAAUAAAUGGUGGUAGGGUUUUUGGAAUUAAAUUCUUUUUAGGAUGGAUGGUUUUCUUUUGAAACAAAUCGAAACAAACUGUUUUCUUCUAUUGUUUGCUGCAAUUGGGAAAAAUUUUUCUGGUUUUAUUUGAUGUUUCAGAAUAUUAGUUGAUGACUUGAUGGCCUGCUUUUCCCGAUUCAAGGAGUAUGGUUGUGUCCUUACCUGUUAAGUGGAAUGACUGAUGGCAGCUUGUUUCCUAAAGUAUGCUGCUAUUUAAACUACUUUCUCAGGUGGCCAACAAAAUAUCAUCA
Molecule: unclassified non-coding RNA, 5289 nt
Filed under: Hevea brasiliensis (rubber tree)
Lineage: Eukaryota; Viridiplantae; Streptophyta; Magnoliopsida; Malpighiales; Euphorbiaceae
Source: RNAcentral